UAUCUCUGUAGAGUCUGCAUAUCAAUAAGCGGAGGAAAAGAAACUAACAAGGAUUCCCCCUAGUAACGGCGAGUGAAGCGGGGAAGAGCUCAAAUUUGAAAUCUUGAAGGGUUUCCCUUUACGAAUUGUAGUUUAAAGAAGUGUUUUCUGUUGGUGUUUUGGUAAAAGUUCUUUGGAAUAGGACAUCAUAGAGGGUGAGAAUCCCGUAUUUGACCAUUAUUUCCAGCUUUGUGAUACACUUUCAAAGAGUCGGAUUGUUUGGGAAUGCAGUCCAAAAUGGGUGGUAAAUUUCAUCUAAAGCUAAAUACUGGCGAGAGACCGAUAGCGAACAAGUACCGUGAGGGAAAGAUGAAAAGAACUUUGAAAAGAGAGUUAAACAGUACGUGAAAUUGUCAAAAGGGAAGCGUUUGACACCAGUGUUGUUUUCUCGAAAAUCAAUUAAAAAAGGCUAGGAUUUUGUAUUGUAAUUGACCUUUAUCAGCUUUACUGCUACUCUUUUCUUGUCUUUUUUAAUGCACUUUUCGUUUAACAAGUCAACAUCAAUUUCUUUUGUUGUAAAAGGGUCAUUGGAAGGUGGCUUUCUUUUCGGAGAAAGUGUUUAUAGCCUUUGGCCUCUGCAAUCGGAGAGAUUGAGGUCUGCAGCGUAGAUCCUUCGGGGUUAGAUACAUUUGUGCUAAGUUAUAGCCUUUCAUAGACAACUUGUUGACUAUGAUCAGUCAUGUAGCUUACUCGCUUAUGCUAUUUUACCUACGCUUAGGAUGUUGACGAUCAGCUGAGCGCG
RNAcentral lists this ribosomal RNA (781 nucleotides) under uncultured Neocallimastigales. Its description in RNAcentral is "partial large subunit ribosomal RNA". It matches the Rfam family "Eukaryotic large subunit ribosomal RNA", at positions 24 to 634 of the family's 3401-position model. Lineage: Eukaryota; Fungi; Neocallimastigomycota; Neocallimastigomycetes; Neocallimastigales. The record is from RNAcentral.